UACGGAGGAUCCAAGCGUUGUCCGGAUUUAUUGGGUUUAAAGGGUGCGUAGGCGGACUAUUAAGUCAGAGGUGAAAGCCGGUAGCUUAACUAUCGAAUUGCCUUUGAAACUGGUAGUCUUGAAUUCUGUUGAGGUGGGCGGAAUGUAUCAUGUAGCGGUGAAAUGCUUAGAUAUGAUACAGAACACCGAUUGCGAAGGCAGCUCACUAAGCAGAUAUUGACGCUGAGGCACGAAAGCGUGGGGAUCAAACAGG
RNAcentral lists this ribosomal RNA (253 nucleotides) under uncultured bacterium. RNAcentral's name for it is "partial 16S ribosomal RNA". It matches the Rfam family "Bacterial small subunit ribosomal RNA", at positions 524 to 776 of the family's 1533-position model. The record is from RNAcentral.